RNAcentral lists this unclassified non-coding RNA (350 nucleotides) under soil metagenome. RNAcentral's name for it is "partial contains 5.8S ribosomal RNA, internal transcribed spacer 2, and large subunit ribosomal RNA". The stretch from base 1 to 120 matches the Rfam family "5.8S ribosomal RNA", at positions 35 to 154 of the family's 154-position model. The record is from RNAcentral.
GAUGAAGAACGUAGCGAAAUGCGAUAAGUAAUGUGAAUUGCAGAAUUCAGUGAAUCAUCGAAUCUUUGAACGCACAUUGCGCCCAUUAGUAUUCUAGUGGGCAUGCCUGUUCGAGCGUCAUUUCAACCCUUAAGCCUAGCUUAGUGUUGGGAGACUGCCUAGUACGCAGCUCCUCAAAACCAGUGGCGGAGUCUGUUCGUGCUCUGAGCGUAGUAAUUUUUUAUCUCGCUUCUGCAAGCCGGCCAGACGACAGCCAUAAACCGCACCCUCUCGGGGGGCACUUUUUUAAUGGUUGACCUCGGAUCAGGUAGGAAUACCCGCUGAACUUAAGCAUAUCAAUAAGCGGAGGA